UCCACAGGAGGAGCUUAUAAAGCUUCAGAGGACACCUAUUCACUCAGGUAUUGUUUCUGCUCCAGAAAGAAAUAAUGCUGAACUUCAUUGGUUUCCCUCCUUUACAGGCUAUGCAUCAAGAUGAUGAUGGUGAGAGAAGGAAGCACUUUUGGGAAGAAGUUCUCAAGUUCCUGGGUGGUCACCAGGGAAGAUAUCAAUCUGAGGCCAGCCACUGUUCAGCAGAAAAGCAUGAAUUAUACUGGCAGAUGUAACUACAGGAAGUGUCGCUUGAUGUUUGGGGCUGACCAAUGCUAUGAGCUGCUGAAGGCCAGAAACAAGUCUUCUCCUCCACACAAGCAGCUGAGGUCCUUCUCCUGCCUGGCCUUUUAAGUUGGAGUGCGGUGAGCAGCACUCUUCACAGUCUUCUCAGAAGUCCAGUACAGUCAGAAGAAUGGGAAAGGUCUGGUAAAAAAUGAAGAGUUCAAGUGUUGGUGGAGAGCAAAGAGCUUUGUGGAGCUGCUGAGAGGGCUUCCCCUGAAUUUGCAAAUUGGAGAAUCCUCAUAAGUCUCUGGUGAGGAGAGUGUGGGGAUCCCCCCCGUCAGGCAGGAGGGAUCUGCGCUGGAGCAACUGUCCUAAGCAAUUUAGUAUGAUUCUUUUUUCCCAGUUUGUUUUUUGGUUGUUACUGAGCUGCAUUGUUUAAAUUUAACUGUAAGAUUAAGGGUUGAGUGCAAAAUGGAGUUGUUUAGCAAGGGAUGCAACAUGUGCUUUCCUUUUAAUGUAAAAUCACAGAAUUCCAAGUUAUCCAUAAAAUCAAAUCCUGUGGAAAAGCAAUUUUGGAGUGGGAAAUUAAUUUUAAUAUUGUGUUAUUUCCACUGUAAUAGAAGAUUAACAAAAAGUACCUUUGGGGGGGGAAGAUUGAGACACUUUUCCUGGAAAUGUCAAUAUAGAGUUUUAUGACAUUGCUAUAACACUUUGGUCUUGAUUGCUUCAAAAUAAAAAUUUGGCAAUGUUCUACUUUGUAAGUCUCAUGUGACACUGCUAGAUUGUGAUUAUUUUUUUUUCAAUCAGCUUUCUAUAUUAUGUCUCUUUCCUCAUCAGUAUCUGGAAAAAAGUCAGAUUCAUUAGAAGGUAAAAUUUUUGGGGUAUUUGCAUACAAAUAAAAUCUUGAGUUAAGCUCUCUCUCUAUAGAGAGCAUAUAGAUAUUUCUCUGCUGUGAAGUUAGCAGACAAUCUAAUAGAUUUGCUCUUCAAUGUUUAAAUAACAUCUUCCUGAACAUUAACACAACUGCUCUACAGACUGCAUGGUGUUUCCUGAGGAGUUAUGGCAGUGACUGCAUGUUUCUCCAUGCUAAUCUAUAAAUUUUCUCCAUGCUAAUCUAUAAAUACGAGAACACCACACUAAGUUAAGAGAAGCUCAUUUUCCUUGUGCAUAGGCUAUGACAUCUCCAAGAUUACUAGCCAAGUGCUUUGGAUAGCAGAUGGACUGAAACAUGUACUUAUUUGCUGAGGGUUUUGCAGUAGUUACAUGCAUCCUGUCUACUAGAAUUGCUUACCCAUGCACAGCUUCUGCUUACUUGUAACUGGUGCAUUGUGACCAGAUAAACCAGAUACCAGAGUAUCCAAGCCAGCUUGCUUAGCUGGUGAAUAAUUGACUUUUUAAAAGUAUUAUGCUAUUAACUAUAAGUUACAAAAUAAUAGUUUGUCAGCUCUGUUAUAAUGUUCUGCAAGUUCAAGCUGGUAAUUAUGUAAAUUCUAACAACCCAAGUCAUACUGCUUCACCUCAAAGGCCCUCCAUAUGCAGAAAGAUCAUAGCAGUUUACAAAGGAUUUAAGCAUAGACUUGGGCCUUAAUCUUGUCUAGUUGAAAAAUGUAGGUAAUAAUGGAACAUGUAUUGUUGACUUAAAAUUGCUUAUCAGGAAGUCUGUGCAUUAGUGGACAAGGGCAAAUCAAAGGGGGAAAAGACAAGUUGAUCUUGGUUGGAAAAAAUGGCCUUUGUGAAUGACUAUAAGGUUCCCCCCAAAAGGUGGUGGUAUAGUAUUUCUAAGUGGCUUUUUCACCCUGGUGGAUUACCCAUCCACUUUGUUUUACCAUGGGCCUCUACAGCACUACCCACGUGAUAGCACAUUUCUUGUAUAAACUGUGGGAAUGUUGACAUUUGGUGUCAUUCCUGGUUAGAAGCUUGCUUUAUUAUUUUUUUGAGACAUCUGGGGAUAAAACUUAGAACUUCCACUGUAUCUGUAUCAUAAAUCAAACAUUUUGCUGGAGGAGAAUGGUGCCUUAAAAAAAAAAAAGGCAUGGAGAAUUCAAUCAAUACACUACCUAAAAUAUAACAGCUUGUCUGCAGUUUAAAUUCUAAUUCAUUAUUCAGUAUUUGCAUAUUUAUUAUGGGGUACUGGUUUUGAGAACAAUAAAGAAUGAAUUCAUCUUUCUGGUGUUUUAUAACUAUGAAAAUCAGAACAAAAAUUUCAGUGUUUUUAUGUAUGUAAUUUGA
Long non-coding RNA from Cygnus olor (mute swan), 2469 nucleotides. RefSeq lists it as uncharacterized. The record is from RefSeq and is a predicted model, not a curated record. The transcript is spliced from 4 exons. NCBI's taxonomy places the organism in Eukaryota, Metazoa, Chordata, Aves, Anseriformes, Anatidae.